CCUACGGGUGGCAGCAGUGAGGAAUCUUGGUCAAUGGGCGCUAGCCUGAACCAGCAAAGCAGCGUGAAGGAUGACUGCCCUCUGGGCUUUAAACUUCUUUGAUAUGGGAAUAAAGUGCAGUAAGUAUACUUCUUCGCAUGUACCUUAUGUAUAAGGAUCGGCUAACUACGUGCCAGCAGCCGCGGUAAUACGGUGGUUCCGAGGGUUAUCCGGAUUUAUUGGGUUUAAAGGGAACGUAGGCGGGUUGUUAAGUCAGUUGUGAAAGUUUGCGGCUCAACCGUAAAAUUGCAGUUGAUACUGGCAGCCUUGAGUACAGUAGAGGUAGGUGGAAUUCGUGGUGUAGCGGUGAAAUGCUUAGAUAUCACGAAGAACUCCGAUUGCGAAAGCAGCCUGCUGGACUGUAACUGACGCUGAUGCUCGAAAGUGUGGGUAGCAAACAGGAUUAGAUACCCGAGUAGUC
Molecule: ribosomal RNA, 460 nt
Filed under: uncultured bacterium
Lineage: Bacteria
Description: partial 16S ribosomal RNA
Rfam family: Bacterial small subunit ribosomal RNA
Source: RNAcentral